AUUGAACGCUGGCGGCAGGCCUAACACAUGCAAGUCGAACGAGGGGCGGACGGGUGAGUAAAGUCUGGGAAACUGCCUGAUGGAGGGGGAUAACUACUGGAAACGGUCGCUAAUACCGCAUAACAUCAGCUGUGCCCAGAUGGGAUUAGCUUGGUGGUGGGGGAACGGCUCACCAAGGCGACGACCCCUAGCUGGUCUGAGAGGAUGACCAGCCACACGGGAACGGAGACACGGUCCAGACUCUUACGCGAGGCAGCAGUGGGGAAUAUUGCACAAUGGGCGCAAGCCUGAUGCAGCCAUGCCGAGUGUAUGAAGAAGGCCUUCGGGUUGUAAAGUACUUUCAGCGGGGAGGCGUUACCCGCAGAAGAAGCACCGGCUAACUCCGUGCCAGCAGCCGCGGUAAUAC
Molecule: ribosomal RNA, 406 nt
Filed under: uncultured bacterium
Lineage: Bacteria
Description: partial 16S ribosomal RNA
Rfam family: Bacterial small subunit ribosomal RNA
Source: RNAcentral